GAGACUCUAGUAAAAAUAUUACAUAGCACUGUCAGCGCUAAAUAACAGAAUAAAACCUGUGAGACUCA
This 68-nucleotide transfer RNA is filed under the name Coleonyx variegatus. RNAcentral describes it as "tRNA-Asp". The record is from RNAcentral. Lineage: Eukaryota; Metazoa; Chordata; Lepidosauria; Squamata; Eublepharidae.